GGGGAUGUAGCUCAGUGGUAGAGUGCUUGUCCCAUGCAGGAGGCCCUGGGUUUAAUUCUUAGCACCACCA
This 70-nucleotide transfer RNA is filed under the name Ictidomys tridecemlineatus (thirteen-lined ground squirrel). Its description in RNAcentral is "Spermophilus tridecemlineatus (thirteen-lined ground squirrel) tRNA". It matches the Rfam family "tRNA". From Rfam's summary of the family: Transfer RNA (tRNA) molecules are approximately 80 nucleotides in length. Their secondary structure includes four short double-helical elements and three loops (D, anti-codon, and T loops). Lineage: Eukaryota; Metazoa; Chordata; Mammalia; Rodentia; Sciuridae. The record is from Rfam by way of RNAcentral.